RNAcentral lists this ribosomal RNA (322 nucleotides) under uncultured eukaryote. RNAcentral's name for it is "partial 18S ribosomal RNA". It matches the Rfam family "Eukaryotic small subunit ribosomal RNA", at positions 1470 to 1796 of the family's 1831-position model. The record is from RNAcentral.
CCCUUAGAUGUUCUGGGCCGCACGCGUGCUACACUGAGUAAAUCAAUGGGUAAGGGAGCACGAAAGUGCAACCUAAUCUUGAAAUUUGCUCGUGAUGGGGAUCGACGGUUGCAAUUUUCCGUCGUGAACGAGGAAUACCUUGUAGGCGCGUGUCAUCAUCACGCGCCGAAUACGUCCCUGCCCUUUGUACACACCGCCCGUCGCUCCUACCGAUUGAGUGAUCCGGUGAGGCUCUGGGACCUGGACGGAAAGAGCGUUUCGCUUGUUCUGUUUGGGAAACUUGGUCGAACCUUAUCAUUUAGAGGAAGGAGAAGUCGUAACA